Molecule: unclassified non-coding RNA, 322 nt
Filed under: uncultured Ascomycota
Lineage: Eukaryota; Fungi; Ascomycota
Description: sequence contains ITS1
Rfam family: 5.8S ribosomal RNA (bases 1-105)
Source: RNAcentral
GAAAUGCGAUAAGUAAUGUGAAUUGCAGAAUUCAGUGAAUCAUCGAAUUUUUGAACGCAUAUUGCGCCCUCUGGUAUUCCGGGGGGCAUGCCUGUUCGAGCGUCAUUUAAUAUCCUCAAGCAAAUAGCUUGGUAUUGGGCUUUUCAUCCUUCCCUCUUAGGAUGGGCCUAAAAAUUAGUGGCGAUUGGCCUUUCUUCUGGCUUUUAAGCGUAGUAAAAUAUUUUCUCGUCUUAAAAAAAGUAAAAGAAAGUUAUCUGCCAAAAACUUUUUAUUUUUAAAAAAAGUUGACCUCGGAUCAGGUAGGAAUACCCGCUGAACUUAA